AUGGAGGGUGUUCAGGGAGCUGCAGGUGGAAGAGCAGUGACGGAUUUUCAAUCUCAGAGGGAGCCGCAGAUUAGUUUGGAUUUGCAGGAUGAUGGAGGAUUCGUUUUCUCUCUGGUGGUCAGGGCAAGCCUGAGAGCUGCCGAGUCACCCUCGCUGAUCUGCGGCGACAGCGAUCAAUCCUUCCAGCCUUGCCGUCCCCCUCACUGGAUUCGGAUCACCGAUAAGGGAAGAGGGGCUCAGAGAGGGAAAAGGGGGAGGAAUUUGAAUUCCAUACGCUGUCUGGGAAACGCAUUUCCCCUUUCCGCCUUCCCUAAGACAAUCACAGAAAGUAGCAGCGGGGUUGACAUCACCUUUUUCAGCCAGCUGUGGGAGGCAGAUUAUAGGGUUCCCACCCCGCCGCCAGCCACCACAUCCGCAGAAGGCACCGACCAAAAUUUCGAGGGAGAGGCCAUGGCUGAGCAAGGGACAGGGAGGGGGAAAUCCAAGAACAAGAGUGGACGGGGAGGGAGCAGCAAUCCACGGCCCCCUGGUUGGGGGCUUGAUCAGAAUCCUUCCCCCCAAUUCAAAUUCCCGUUCGGAUACCCAACUCCACCAUGGGGCUUCCCGAAUCAGCUCCCAGGAAAUUAUCCUCCACCACCAGGACAAUGGCAAGGCCCUCCACCCCCGUGGGCUGCGCAGCAACAAGGGUUUGGAUUUGGAGGUCUGGGAGGCAUUCCACCGCCAGGGCCAGGAAUCCAGGUUCAGCAACCCCAAUCGCAAGCGCAGAUGGGCGGACAGGGGCAGCAAAAUUUCCCCAAAGGGCAACCAAACCCUGCAGGCCAACAGAAGCAACAACAACAGAGAGGUCCGAGCAAGCAAGCAGCAAAGAGAUCUGCGAAAACCCUGCUCGACGUUGCGGCAGAUCUGAAAGCUUACUCUGCUGAUAUCUGCCUCAACUGUGGAGAUCCUGGUCACCCAGCUGUGGACUGUGCUAAGCCCAAAUCCUGCCAAAUCUGCAAGAUGAUCUCUCAUGCUGCUGAUGUAUGCCCAGUGAGGAAGCAACCGCACCAGACAGCAAGAUACAUUGGAAGCGCGGCCCCUGGACUUGGCUUCUACCAUGUGGAGCUGCCUGAUGUCAAUGCUCAGAGAAUUGGGACACUGCAAAACAUUGGAAUCGUCCAUGUGGAGGAGGGCGGCAUUACAAAAGAGGAAUUAGCUGCAGAAUUCACCAUCAUCUACAAAACUAGAUGGCCAUGGCAGAUCAGGUCAUUAGAUGAAUGGUCCUUCCUAGUUAAGUUUCCUCCUGAGAUUCCUGUUACUCAGGUAGCCGGAUACCCCUGCUUUGGGCUCUCAAAAGAAGGGGUCACAGUAAAUGUAGAGGAAUGGAAUGGAAAGGUAGAGGCUCAAGCUGAGGGUCAACAAGUGUGGGUCAGGCUCCUGAGAAUGAAUCCCAAGUGGUGUGAAUGGGCUGUCCUAGACCAGAUUGCCUCAGUUUUUGGGCUCUUGGUUGAUGUAGACUGGGAACACAUGUUCAAAACCUUCUAUGAAUUAAUCAGGAUCAAAGUGGUGUGUAAAGACAGUAGUAGGAUCCCUCUAGAAAGGCUCUUCUUCCUGGAUGGGGAAUUCUACAUGAUAGGGAUAGAAGUAGAACCAAACACUGAUCAGGGGGCUCUGUGA
RNAcentral lists this ribosomal RNA (1656 nucleotides) under Triticum aestivum (bread wheat). Its description in RNAcentral is "partial small subunit ribosomal RNA". Lineage: Eukaryota; Viridiplantae; Streptophyta; Magnoliopsida; Poales; Poaceae. The record is from RNAcentral.